This 96-nucleotide ribosomal RNA is filed under the name Nannospalax galili (Upper Galilee mountains blind mole rat). The record is from RNAcentral. Lineage: Eukaryota; Metazoa; Chordata; Mammalia; Rodentia; Spalacidae.
GUCUAUGGCUAUAAUACCCUGAUCUUGUCUGAUCUCAGGAGAUGAGCAGGGUCAGGCCUGGUUAGUACCAUUGGAGUGGAACUGGGGCCUAAGACU